UACGUAGGGUGCAAGCGUUGUCCGGAAUUAUUGGGCGUAAAGAGCUCGUAGGCGGUCUGUCGCGUCUGCUGUGAAACUCAGGGCUUAACCCUGAGCUUGCAGUGGGUACGGGCAGACUAGAGUGCGGUAGGGGAGACUGGAAUUCCUGGUGUAGCGGUGGAAUGCGCAGAUAUCAGGAGGAACACCGAUGGCGAAGGCAGGUCACUGGGCCGCAACUGACGCU
Molecule: ribosomal RNA, 223 nt
Filed under: uncultured bacterium
Lineage: Bacteria
Description: partial 16S ribosomal RNA
Rfam family: Bacterial small subunit ribosomal RNA
Source: RNAcentral